RNAcentral lists this microRNA (22 nucleotides) under Taeniopygia guttata (zebra finch). Its description in RNAcentral is "tgu-miR-458-5p". Its record names the gene tgu-miR-458-5p. Lineage: Eukaryota; Metazoa; Chordata; Aves; Passeriformes; Estrildidae. The record is from miRBase by way of RNAcentral.
AGCGCCAUUUCCAGAGCUAUCA